AAGAAAGAUAUUGAAGCCCUGGAGUAUGUCCAGAGAAGAGCAAUGAAGCUGUGAAAGGUGGUCAGGGAGACUAAGAAAAGUGAAAUCCUGUGCCAAGCCAUGGUGAGACUGCUGUCACAGGGAUGCAGGGAGACAACAACCCAGAUAGUGAAGAUGAAGCUUGAUACCAUCACCCUUUUAGCCCCCAAAAGUGACUUCUCCCAAAAAUCUGCUCAAAUUAUUCUCUACAAUGUAGUUUAAAUGGUGGGAGAUGUGCUGUGCAGCAAGAGUGCUCAAGGCACCCUGACAGCUAUAACAGAUGCAUGUUCACUGCCUUCAGCUGCAAAGACUUGUUAUUGGCCUUCUCCCAAAAGAACUCCAGGAUCCAGACCAAGAUCUUAGACUGGCUGUCAAAGGCAAUUCUAGAGUUUAACUUUGCUGGAAUGGAUGCCAAGCUGCUGGUAAAUAUCCUGAAGGUAGCUCUUGCUGCUGUAUAGCCCUUUGUGCAGAAACCAGCCAUCACUUUACGAGGGAUUAUUUACCUGUACGUGCAAGACUCACUCGCAGAGCUGAUGGAGAGUGAAAAGCUGCCCAUUCAUCCCCAGUAUAGAUGCUGAGCUGGAGAAAGUACAUGAGCAAAUCUCACUGGUUCCUAGUUUUGCCAGCCACAAGCCAGGACAUAAGACCCAGGAGGACCACAAGGAUCCCAGAAGGGUAGACGUCAAACAACUGGCCCAACAGCUAUCCAUCCUCUGUUCAGUUCCCUCAGACCUGCUUCCGUGUGUGCCUCACCUCUACUCCUGCCUGCAGGAUUACAACAUGGCCAUGUGCAUAGCCUUGCAGGCAGCCUUGCCCUUCUUAAUGCUCAUUAUCUUUGAAAAGAUGGCUGAAGUCACCACUGACUUGAAGGCUGCUACAAAGGGCCACAUACUUUUGACAAUGAGGAAUGCCAACACCAGUCUGUCAGUUCCAUCCACUGCCUCUGCUGACUGACUUCCCAGGCACCCUGCAGUCAACAGCACAGUUUCCCUCCUGUGGCAACCAGCUCUUCUUCACAAGCAUCAACUAAAGAGCCAGCACACAAAACCAGCAAACAGAAGCAGGGUUUGAAGGAACCCCAGUCAGGAGAAGAGAUGAAAGACAAGGGUGGAGCCAAGCUAAAAGCACAAAUGAGGAUUACUCUGAGCGAUGUUGGCAACAAACAGCAGCAAGCUGGUAGGCUUAAGAGUCUCUCCCCAGACUCUGCCUCCACUUGCAGAAGAGCACAAGAGCAAGCUGGUCUCCAGAAAACACAGUCCCAUUAAACAGAAGAAUAUUGUUCACAGUUAGAAACAAUCCCUGAACACCGUACCUUACCUACCUCCUCAAACACUGAUGACAUGUGUCAGAACAUCAAAUCCACUAUUAAUUCCCUCAUUCACUGCAUUAGCAAUAGUGAUCCUGACAGCAGCAUGCAGGCAGUGAAAGAAUUAGAUAAGAUCCUGAGUCAGAAGCACAAAGCAGAAGCCACAUCUGGACACAAGAAUGAGUUCCUCAUAGCCAGCUUCCAACCUCUCAAGCUUAUCCAACAGCAAAAGCAAAGUGAUGAAAAAAGGGGGAAGGCCAAAAUCAUCCUGUGAGGCAACUAUGUCAUCCAGGCCUUGAUGCUUCUCUUCUAGGAGAAGAGACUGGCUCAGGAGGCCUCCAUGGAGGUGCUGAAGGAUGUACUACACAACCUCCUUACCUCCUUCAGGCUAUGCUGCCUGUAGGGGAACUGAGGGGAAGAACAGAAGCAUCAGUGUCCUUGUGAGAAGGGUCCUGAUAAAAUCUGACAAGACAAGCAUCUUCUGUGCCUUGCUCAAGCUGCUCUAAGGCAGCCUGACUGCUGGCAGCAGCCCAGAUAAGCUUUCUUAAUGGUUGGCCGUAUGCCUCUGGAGGACCACACAUCUUCUCCCUGGCGCUAUCAGCAUCAUUAACCUGGACAAAAUCCUCCCGGAUGUCCACCCAGUCAUGAAUUCUAUCCCAAAGGAGAAACUGAGUCAGUGAACAAAUGAUAUCCCAGUGUAGGCCCUGAAAAACUCUACUCAGCACUUUGUGUAAGCUGAAAGGGCUUAGGGUUCUGAGCCACCUCACCCUGAUAGAGAAUGCUGCAAGCAACCUCUCCUUGCAGAGGUAUUUGAAACCAAGCCUGGCCAUCACCCAGACAGAGCAGGACACCAAAAAAUGUCUUCCUCCUCAACCUUUGGUAGGUCACAUCCACUGGGGCAAAAGCAUCUCCUGCUGGAUUAGUAGGAAUGCCAGGAGGGACAGCUGUGGGGAAGCCAGUUACAUCAUCUUGCCACCAGCAAAAAGCAUUUCUACACCAUCCCAUCACGGGGUACAAAGGCUGUCCUCCUCCCAUUGUUCUGGAGCUGCACAGCAGCAAGGUCCGCAGCAGCACCAAGAGCAACUGGUAGGAAGAGGAGCAGGAUCUGCAGCCAAGGUGAGCGUCUCAUCUGUGGCAUCAGAAAAAGCCAGGCCUCUUCCUCACACACAUCAACAGGCAGGUGGUGUGAAGCACUAACCAAUUAAUUAAAUAAAUAAAU
Long non-coding RNA from Gallus gallus (chicken), 2543 nucleotides. Lineage: Eukaryota; Metazoa; Chordata; Aves; Galliformes; Phasianidae. The record is from Ensembl.